Molecule: non-coding RNA, 1453 nt
Organism: Peromyscus maniculatus bairdii (prairie deer mouse)
Lineage: Eukaryota; Metazoa; Chordata; Mammalia; Rodentia; Cricetidae
Source: RefSeq, a predicted model, not a curated record
UCAGAAGGCAUUGCAGCUUAGAACCAUGGGGACCUAAAGGGACCGCCACUCUUCACAGCCCCACAUCCCUUCCCCUUCAUGGUUCACCCUCCUCCCUGCCUCCUGCAUGCAGGUCUCAUGCAUGAGGCAUGGGUGAGGACCCAUGUCCCUGAAGCUGCUUUACAGACAAAAGUACCUGUACGGUGUCACAAACUGUGUGUGUCGUCAGACACAUGGACACAGUAUGUCAUUGAGCAGUACAAUGUUAGCUAGAACAUAGCCAGUUGGUGUCUUUUUGAGACAAUCUAUUCACAUGUCAGAUCCUCUGCUGCUGCCUUCAACAUCUGGAAACCCCUGUUGAUACCGAAUACAGCUCCGGCGGAGACGCAGUCUGGGAAGGGCUUGGUUGAUCUAAAGUCAAGCUACAAGUGGCAGCGUUAGAAUGGUAACUCAAGCGUUUGGCCGCCUGAAGGAUGCAUGUGAGAGGUUACAGCCUCCUUGUGGAGACAACCGCUAGUGGGUUUCCUCUCCGCGCCCGGGAGGCUACAGUCCUGGGCUCCCAGCUCUCACAGUCCAAAGCUACGAAUGCCCCAGGACCACCGGGUUCGCCGCCGCCACUCCCUCCAGCUGAGCGGCUCCUGCAGCAAGAGCCUCCACCUCCCGCGCGCGGCACAAUGUCAUGGGGGACAUGAUUCACACAGUUUCUAAGUUCCCUCCACUCCUACACCCUGGCUUCCUGCCCACUGACUCAGGGUAUGGUGAUUGGCUUACCUUGGUCAAAAGAAGGGGACUUGGACAGCACAGACCCCGGGCAGCCAGAGGCCUUCCAUACCUGCACUCAAGCGCUCUAUCUAGUGAUGGAUUCUUGGACUUCUGACUUGCCCUGUAAGUGGCCCCAAGCUGGAACCCACCCAGAAGCCUGAAGAGCUCCACGAUCCCCCAGAGAAUCUACAGACCUAUGAGCCAGAAAUAAAGAUUUGUUGUUAUAACCUUUGAGAUACAGUCCUAUCAUCAGAAAGCGGAAGACAGAAGUAACAGCUGGUCUAUGUUAAAGAGAAUAAGAAUCAUAUUAAUGAUGGCUGAGGUUUAUUGAGCAUCACUGUGAAUGAGCCACUGUUCUAAGUGUUUAAAUGAAUUGUACUCAAUUAUCAGAAUCAUCCUGGGAGCCACAGAGAGGACUGGAGGAGAAGAAAAGAAGCAGGAAAGGGAACUUGUGUCAACAGUGUUCAGCGUGUUUCUCUUUCCAGAACACUGCACGUCUUGGUCGUUUUCAUCUGAGAGGCAUCCUCCUAGAGUGGUGUUUAAUUCAGCCACUCCAUCGACCUGUCAGACAAACUCGAGUUCUGUUGGUGAGAAAGAAACACACUGGGUGGUGGGAGGCAGAGGCAGACAAAUCUCUGUGAGUUCAAGACCAGCCUGAUGUACAGAACGAGUUCCAGGACAGCAAGGAGUAUUGAGAGAAACCCUGUCUCAA